GGUUAAGCGACUAAGCGUACACGGUGGAUGCCCUGGCAGUCAGAGGCGAUGAAGGGCGUGCUAAUCUGCGAUAAGCGCCGGUAAGGUGAUAUGAACCGUUAUAACCGGCGAUACCCGAAUGGGGAAACCCAGUGUGACUCGUCACACUAUCAUUAACUGAAUCCAUAGGUUAAUGAGGCGAACCGGGGGAACUGAAACAUCUAAGUACCCCGAGGAAAAGAAAUCAACCGAGAUUCCCCCAGUAGCGGCGAGCGAACGGGGAGGAGCCCAGAGCCUGAAUCAGCAUGUGUGUUAGUGGAAGCGUCUGGAAAGGCGCGCGAUACAGGGUGACAGCCCCGUACACAAAAGCGCAUGUGCUGUGAGCUCGAUGAGUAGGGCGGGACACGUGGUAUCCUGUCUGAAUAUGGGGGGACCAUCCUCCAAGGCUAAAUACUCCUGACUGACCGAUAGUGAACCAGUACCGUGAGGGAAAGGCGAAAAGAACCCCGGCGAGGGGAGUGAAAAAGAACCUGAAACCGUGUACGUACAAGCAGUGGGAGCACCCUUUGGGUGUGACUGCGUACCUUUUGUAUAAUGGGUCAGCGACUUAUAUUCUGUAGCAAGGUUAACCGAAUAGGGGAGCCGGAGGGAAACCGAGUCUUAAUUGGGCGUUAAGUUGCAGGGUAUAGACCCGAAACCCGGUGAUCUAGCCAUGGGCAGGUUGAAGGUUGGGUAACACUAACUGGAGGACCGAACCGACUAAUGUUGAAAAAUUAGCGGAUGACCUGUGGCUGGGGGUGAAAGGCCAAUCAAACCGGGAGAUAGCUGGUUCUCCCCGAAAGCUAUUUAGGUAGCGCCUCGUGAAUUCAUCUCCGGGGGUAGAGCA
Molecule: ribosomal RNA, 865 nt
Filed under: Salmonella enterica subsp. enterica serovar Enteritidis
Lineage: Bacteria; Pseudomonadati; Pseudomonadota; Gammaproteobacteria; Enterobacterales; Enterobacteriaceae
Description: partial 23S ribosomal RNA
Rfam family: Bacterial large subunit ribosomal RNA
Source: RNAcentral